RNAcentral lists this non-coding RNA (25 nucleotides) under Cricetulus griseus (Chinese hamster). Lineage: Eukaryota; Metazoa; Chordata; Mammalia; Rodentia; Cricetidae. The record is from RNAcentral.
AAGAAUGGCACCCGGACAGAACCUC